This 497-nucleotide ribosomal RNA is filed under the name uncultured bacterium. RNAcentral's name for it is "partial 16S ribosomal RNA". It matches the Rfam family "Bacterial small subunit ribosomal RNA", at positions 28 to 507 of the family's 1533-position model. The record is from RNAcentral.
GAUGAACGCUGGCGGCGUGCCUAAUACAUGCAAGUCGAGCGAACGGACGAGAAGCUUGCUUCUCUGAUGUUAGCGGCGGACGGGUGAGUAACACGUGGAUAACCUACCUAUAAGACUGGGAUAACUUCGGGAAACCGGAGCUAAUACCGGAUAAUAUUUUGAACCGCAUGGUUCAAAAGUGAAAGACGGUCUUGCUGUCACUUAUAGAUGGAUCCGCGCUGCAUUAGCUAGUUGGUAAGGUAACGGCUUACCAAGGCAACGAUGCAUAGCCGACCUGAGAGGGUGAUCGGCCACACUGGAACUGAGACACGGUCCAGACUCCUACGGGAGGCAGCAGUAGGGAAUCUUCCGCAAUGGGCGAAAGCCUGACGGAGCAACGCCGCGUGAGUGAUGAAGGUCUUCGGAUCGUAUAACUCUGUUAUUAGGGAAGAACAUAUGUGUAAGUAACUGUGCACAUCUUGACGGUACCUAAACAGAAAGCCACGGCUAACUACGUG